UAGGGAAUCUUCGGCAAUGGGGGCAACCCUGACCGAGCAACGCCGCGUGAGUGAAGAAGGUUUUCGGAUCGUAAAGCUCUGUUGUAAGAGAAGAACGUGUGUGAGAGUGGAAAGUUCACACAGUGACGGUAACUUACCAGAAAGGGACGGCUAACUACGUGCCAGCAGCCGCGGUAAUACGUAGGUCCCGAGCGUUGUCCGGAUUUAUUGGGCGUAAAGCGAGCGCAGGCGGUUUAAUAAGUCUGAAGUGAAAGGCAGUGGCUUAACCAUUGUUCGCUUUGGAAACUGUUAAACGUGAGUGCAAAAGGGGAGAGUGGAAUUCCAUGUGUAGCGGUGAAAUGCGUAGAUAUAUGGAGGAACACCGGUGGCGAAAGCGGCUCUCUGGUCUGUAACUGACGCUGAGGCUCGAAAGCGUGGGGAGCAAACAGG
Molecule: ribosomal RNA, 429 nt
Filed under: bacterium
Lineage: Bacteria
Description: partial 16S ribosomal RNA
Rfam family: Bacterial small subunit ribosomal RNA
Source: RNAcentral